GUGGGCACAGCAAGCUGACUUGCCUUCUCGAGUGGGUGAAAAACAAUUGGCAUUUCAGUGAGGAACUGGAUGUAAUACAUGAAAUGGCUCAGAUCUACUCAGCUGGAACCCAGGUCAUCCCCCUGAGCAUCGCUGCUGGCAAAAACCCAGUGUGAGGACCUCCUCAUGGAAUACCUGUAAAGUAUUCUUUAUAGCCAAAUAAAUAAAUAAAUAAAAGAAAAAAGUUUAUUCAAACCUAAAACCUAACUUCCAUUAUAAGGGCUUAAAAGUAAAAGUUAAAGGACACCAUCAGGAAACAAUCGGGCAAGCCAGGGAUGUGUGACCUUCUCUAAGACAGCUGGCCCAGAUUCCUCAAGUCAAUGUCGUAAAUCAAAACCAAACAGAAGUUAAGGUGGGGGAGAUUUUCCAGAUUAGCCUCCAGAUGGAAUCCAUAAGCCUUGAUUAGCUCUCGGGGGAAACUGCAUACAAACAUUUAAGGUACAAUUGCAAAAAUUUUAAAAUGACUUGGAUAUUAGUUGUGAUUGUAGAAUCAUUGUUAAGUUUCCUAGGUAUGAUAGUGGUAUUGCGGUUAUACAGGAGAUUUUCUUUAUUCUUAGGAGAUUCAUAUUGAAGCACUUACGGAUCAUGAUGCCAUACUGACAACUUAUUUUCAAAAAUGGUGUGUAUCAUGUGUUUGUGGGGAGACAGAGAGAGGAGAAAAACCAAAUAUGGUAAAACGUUAACAACCAUUGAAUCUAGAUGAAAAGCAUUUGUGGUUUCUUUUGACAUUUUUCAGUGUUGAAAAUUUUCAUAAUAGAAGGCAGACAGAUAAAUAUCAGUAAAAAGCAGAUAAAAUUGAGGAUAUAUUUGUAUUUGAAGAGCUUUUUAAAGCCAUGUUUUCUUUUCCUCAACCAGUUUCAAAUAAGCAGCCAAUACUUUAUCAGGAACUAAUUCAUCCACCUCAGAAUGGAUAUUCACACCCAAAUUGCUGUGCUUUCAAAAGCUUUUUAACCUCUUGUUUGUUGCUAGCACUUUCCCAGUGGAAAGAAUUUGAUGCCAUUUCCGCACACCCAAAUUCCUGUUGGCAGGAUAAUCAGCAAGUAAUACAGAGAGCUGCUUCCUUCAACAGCUGCAUUCAGCACAAAACCGAGGGCCGAUUAUGUGGAGAAAUAUCCUUCAGAGGCUGGUGGAGGCCGCUCUGCUUCAAGCUGUGAGCCGAGUCAGGGCUGCUUCACUUGUCUCUCAUCCUCUGGACCAGUGACCACCUGGGGUGGCAACAGGGCCAGAGGACGAGCAGAGACACAAGAGGCCUCCUAAGGCCUCAGCUCAGAACUAACAAACUCGCUUCUGCCCACAUUCCAUUGGCCAAAGCCCUGCAUGAGUUGUGGAAAAGUACUCUCCACUUUGGUGAACAUUAGUAAGAGAAAAGAGGGAAGGAAGAAUUGCAGGCAAGUAAUACCAUCUACCUCGGCCUCCUAUGCAGCUUGGUGUGUACCUGCACCUAAGUUCUGGCCUGUAGGAUAUGAGGGGAAGUGAGGUGUGCAACUCCAGGACCUGCCCCUGUAAAGACUGGGCCCUGCCUUUCCCCUGCCCAUCUGCUGGGGACAUGGUAGGACUGCAGCAGUUGCCUGGCCCAGAGAUAGACGGCACAGCUAUCCUGCUGGUCCUACCUCUAGACCGCCACAUGUACCUCACUUACACUGCUUGGGUUUUGCAUCUUAAAACCCCAAUUAGCACACCAUUCAUUCAUUCAUUCCCCCAUCAACAAGUAUGUACUGAGUGUCUUUUUGCCAGGCAUUGCACUAGGUUUUGGAGAGAUGACAGUGAACAAAAACAAACUUGGCUGUUCUGUAUCUUGGCUGUGGCAGUGGUUACACAAGCCUACACAUGUGAUAAAACUGCAUAGAACUAAAUACACACACACAGAGGAAUGCCAGUCAAACUGGGAAUUAAAGAAUCAAAAAGUCACUGGUGACUCAACAUGGCAGCAGUCCAGCUCAACCAUACAGAUGACAGCAGUGUGCUGAAGUAUGACAAAGGAAUGAUUUAAAAGGAAUUGAGGCAGAGCUGCCAGGCAGGCAUGCUCACCUUGGACUUUGAAGCAAGAGAGACAUAAAUAAAGGUCUUUGUUCUGUAAGUAGAGUGUUCAUAUAAUUUAUCAUCCAAACUGAGACACCUGUGAAAAUAAUUACACUGGAACAACUUGUGUGACUGAUCAGCUGGUCACUCCAUCUUUAAGUCAUUGUCUUGUUGAGUCUGUUAUCAGAGCCCAUGGAGUGCCAUGCAUGGACAGCUUAUUUAGGCACAACAGAGAAAAAUUAAAGGGAAGGAGGAGCAAGGAAGAGUGGAAAGGAUAAAGAAAUGGUGAGCAUUGGCAGGAAACAAUGCAAGGAGAAAAGGGAACAGGAAUCGGAUUUUCUACUAAUUUGCUGUGUGUUCCUGUGUCAGUUUAUAAAUUAGUGUCUAUAUUUACAACCGAUUGGAAGAACGAACUUUUUAGAUCCUCUCAUCCAACAAAGCUGCAGAUUUCUUUAUUGAGAUGGAGUUGAGAAAGCUUUAAAACAGGCCAAAGCAACAUGAGGACAUGUGUCAUGAGAAGAGAAAUGGUCUUCCAUAAAUUGAGUGCUGGGGAAGGCUUGGUGUAGGUAAUGUAGAGGUUCUCAAACUGUGGAGAAGCUCAAAAUGUGUUCCUUUGAGCCUUGGUCUUCUAGUUAGGCCACUGUCUAAGCCACUAUACAAAAAGACACCAAACACACUGGCUUCAACAAGACAAGCCUCUGUUUCUCUUUCGGGUGACAGGAGAAGCAGAGGACUAAGCUUUCUUUUCCAAGUCAUCACCUGAAAGUUGCCCCUUCACUUCUGCUCACAUUGCAUUGGCCAGAGACUUGAAAGGAAGCUGGGCACGUGCUGUGGGGAAAAGAAAGAGAGAUCAGAUUGUUACUGUGUCUGUAUAGAAAGAAGUAGACGUAGGAGACUCCAUUCUGUUCUGUACUAAGAAAAAUUCUGCCUUGAGAUUCUGUUAAUCUGUGACCUUACCCCCAACCCU
RNAcentral lists this long non-coding RNA (3025 nucleotides) under Homo sapiens (human). RNAcentral's name for it is "non-protein coding lnc-BTNL8-5:5". The record is from RNAcentral. Lineage: Eukaryota; Metazoa; Chordata; Mammalia; Primates; Hominidae.